Molecule: transfer RNA, 63 nt
Filed under: Pseudorhynchus crassiceps
Lineage: Eukaryota; Metazoa; Arthropoda; Insecta; Orthoptera; Tettigoniidae
Description: tRNA-Arg
Source: RNAcentral
AAAUAAGAAGCAAAAUAUUGCAUUCAGUUUCGACCUGACAGUUGAUUAGUUAAUCCUUAUUUA